CGGAAAUUCACUGAUACCAGAUGGUUCAAGAUGGCAGCCAAAAGUUGGCGACAUCGGAACAAUCAAAUGUGUUUCUUGUAGAUGCAAGAAAGGAAAAAUCAAAUGCAGGCGCCAGAAAUGCCCUAAACCACCGUGCAAGAAGAAAUAUAGAAUUACGCCCAAGGAUCAAUGCUGCCCUAUAUGUAACCCUGAUGGCGAAACUGACAAGACGACUAGCGGUAAAUCUGGGAAAGCGAAGAAACGGAAGAAUCGGAAGGGGAAGAAAAUCAAGGAUCAGUUAAGAGAAAGGGUUAACAUAUUUAGUAAUACUAGCCAAUGAGUGAACGGGAUAAAUAUGACGUCAUUGAUGAAGAGCCAAUCCGAAGAAGUAUACCGUGUUGAGUGUGCCAGUCGUGUUUUGUGUGUGUAUUCACCUCGUUUCCAAGAGACUCGACCGAUAUAUCUGGAAUGUGAGAUAUACAUCAAGCUUGUUGAACAGACUCUUGAUUGAAACUAUAGGCGUGUGGUGUACUGAAUUCGAAUAAGAGUUGCAUGCGUCGGAUACAACGGACCGAUAUGACAUUACAAUGCAUAGAUAACAUUUUCCCGUUUGUCCGAAUUGGCGCAUUUUUCCUAUCGAUUGUUAUUAUAAAUAUUGCAUUAAACUUUUGCCCAGAAUCCUUUGCUUGAUGGGAUGAUUUAUACGGAUUGUUAACUGUUGUAUAGUAAGACGCAUCCGUCAGGCAGAUAGAUGUCCAGUCUUCUAUUUAUUUAUUCUAUAUCAGCAGACGAUACGCUUGAUCAUUGAUACGGAUGAUAGUGACCAUGUAAGGUAUUGGCUUGAAAGAAUU
Lineus longissimus is the source of this 830-nucleotide long non-coding RNA. RefSeq lists it as uncharacterized. NCBI's taxonomy places the organism in Eukaryota, Metazoa, Nemertea, Pilidiophora, Heteronemertea, Lineidae. The record is from RefSeq and is a predicted model, not a curated record. The transcript is spliced from 3 exons.